GGCCAGUUAGCUCAGCUGGAUAGAGCUUGAUGCUGAUAACGCCAAGGUCGUGGGUUCGAUCCCCGUUCGGUCCC
RNAcentral lists this transfer RNA (74 nucleotides) under Apaloderma vittatum (bar-tailed trogon). It matches the Rfam family "tRNA". From Rfam's summary of the family: Transfer RNA (tRNA) molecules are approximately 80 nucleotides in length. Their secondary structure includes four short double-helical elements and three loops (D, anti-codon, and T loops). The record is from Rfam by way of RNAcentral. Lineage: Eukaryota; Metazoa; Chordata; Aves; Trogoniformes; Trogonidae.